This 232-nucleotide ribosomal RNA is filed under the name uncultured bacterium. RNAcentral describes it as "partial 16S ribosomal RNA". It matches the Rfam family "Bacterial small subunit ribosomal RNA", at positions 99 to 334 of the family's 1533-position model. The record is from RNAcentral.
CGGACGGGUGAGUAAUGUCUGGGAAACUGCCUGAUGGAGGGGGGUAACUACUGGAAACGGUAGCUAAUACCGCAUAACGUCGCAAGACCAAAGAGGGGGACCUUAGGGCCUCUUGCCAUCGGAUGUGCCCAGAUGGGAUUAGCUAGUAGGUGGGGUAACGGCUCACCUAGGCGACGAUCCCUAGCUGGUCUGAGAGGAUGACCAGCCACACUGGAACUGAGACACGGCCCAG